Molecule: ribosomal RNA, 443 nt
Filed under: uncultured bacterium
Lineage: Bacteria
Description: partial 16S ribosomal RNA
Rfam family: Bacterial small subunit ribosomal RNA
Source: RNAcentral
CCUACGGGAGGCAGCAGUGAGGAAUAUUGGUCAAUGGCCGAGAGGCUGAACCAGCCAAGUCGCGUGAGGGAAGAAGGCCCUACGGGUUGUAAACUUCUUUUAAGAGGGAAGAGAAGCAGACGGUACCUCUUGAAUAAGCCACGGCUAACUACGUGCCAGCAGCCGCGGUAAUACGUAGGUGGCAAGCGUUGUCCGGAUUUACUGGGUGUAAAGGGCGUGCAGCCGGGAAGACAAGUCAGAUGUUAAAUCCCGCGGCUCAACCGCGGAACUGCAUUUGAAACUGUUUGUCUUGAGUACCGGAGAGGUCAUCGGAAUUCCUGGUGUAGCGGUGAAAUGCGUAGAUAUAAGGAAGAACACCAGUGGCGAAGGCGGAUGACUGGACGGCAACUGACGGUGAGGCGCGAAAGCGUGGGGAGCAAACAGGAUUAGAUACCCGAGUAGUC